AUUGAACGCUGGCGGCAGGCCUAACACAUGCCAGUCGAACGGUAACAGGAAGAAGCUUGCUUCUUUGCUGACGAGUGGCGGACGGGUGAGUAAUGUCUGGGAAACUGCCUGAUGGAGGGGGAUAACUACUGGAAACGGUAGCUAAUACCGCAUAACGUCGCAAGACCAAAGAGGGGGACCUUCGGGCCUCUUGCCAUCGGAUGUGCCCAGAUGGGAUUAGCUUGUUGGUGGGGUAACGGCUCACCAAGGCGACGAUCCCUAGCUGGUCUGAGAGGAUGACCAGCCACACUGGAACUGAGACACGGUCCAGACUCCUACGGGAGGCAGCAGUGGGGAAUAUUGCACAAUGGGCGCAAGCCUGAUGCAGCCAUGCCGCGUGUAUGAAGAAGGCCUUCGGGUUGUAGAGUACUUUCAGCGGGGAGGAAGGGAGUAAAGUUAAUACCUUUGCUCAUUGACGUUACCCGCAGAAGAAGCACCGGCUAACUCCGU
RNAcentral lists this ribosomal RNA (489 nucleotides) under uncultured bacterium. RNAcentral's name for it is "partial 16S ribosomal RNA". It matches the Rfam family "Bacterial small subunit ribosomal RNA", at positions 30 to 506 of the family's 1533-position model. The record is from RNAcentral.